This 24-nucleotide non-coding RNA is filed under the name Arabidopsis thaliana (thale cress). Lineage: Eukaryota; Viridiplantae; Streptophyta; Magnoliopsida; Brassicales; Brassicaceae. The record is from RNAcentral.
AAGUAACGCUAUAACACGAAUCCA